CUCUUUGGCAACGUAAAACCGUUUUUUAACUGCCUUCUAAUCGUUUCGCAAAUCACAAACGUGUGAUGUUUUUUCCUUAAGAAAGAUUAAAUUUUUCAAUCCAAUUCAAAACUCCAACGUUUAAAAAUUGAAAUUUGAAGAAGAAAGAGACCCUUCACCUUUAGUCCGUCCUAGUCGUUUGGUGCCAGAAGAAGAGUAAAUCACUGAUUUUGAGUAAGUUUUUGAUAUGGGUUUGCGGCAUAUUCACUUGUCGUGUGCCUGCGUUGUGUAGUUUCUGGUUUUCU
Molecule: long non-coding RNA, 284 nt
Filed under: Prunus persica (peach)
Lineage: Eukaryota; Viridiplantae; Streptophyta; Magnoliopsida; Rosales; Rosaceae
Description: long non-coding RNA (PPER_LNC003928)
Source: RNAcentral